CCUACGGGAGGCAGCAGUCGGGAAUUUUGGGCAAUGGGCGCAAGCCUGACCCAGCAACGCCGCGUGAGGGAUGAAGGCCUUCGGGUCGUAAACCUCUGUCGGGAGGGACGAACGGUACCAGGGCGAACAGUCCUGGGAUCUGACGGUACCUCCAAAGGAAGCGCCGGCUAACUCCGUGCCAGCAGCCGCGGUAAUACGGAGGGCGCAAGCGUUGUUCGGAAUCAUUGGGCGUAAAGCGCGUGUAGGCGGCUUGGCAAGUCGGGUGUGAAAGCCCGGGGCUCAACCCCGGAACUGCACUCGAAACUGCCUCGCUCGAGUCCCGGAGGGGAGGGCGGAAUUCCCGGUGUAGAGGUGAAAUUCGUAGAUAUCGGGAGGAACACCAGCGGCGAAGGCGGCCCUCUGGACGGUGACUGACGCUGAGACGCGAAAGCGUGGGGAGCAAACAGGAUUAGAUACCCUGGUAGUCCACGCCGUAAACGUUGGGUGCUAGGUGUCGCGGGUAUUGACCCCUGCGGUGCCGUCGUUAACGCAUUUAGCACCCCGCCUGGGGAGUACGGUCGCAAGGCUAAAACUCAAAUGAAUUGACGG
RNAcentral lists this ribosomal RNA (588 nucleotides) under uncultured bacterium. RNAcentral describes it as "bacterial SSU rRNA". It matches the Rfam family "Bacterial small subunit ribosomal RNA", at positions 338 to 916 of the family's 1533-position model. The record is from RNAcentral.